Long non-coding RNA from Saccostrea echinata, 887 nucleotides. RefSeq lists it as uncharacterized. The record is from RefSeq and is a predicted model, not a curated record. The transcript has 3 exons. Lineage: Eukaryota; Metazoa; Mollusca; Bivalvia; Ostreida; Ostreidae.
UGAAUUGUCUACGGAUUUUUCCGUUUUCCGAUCAUGACAAGGAGAGCACUGUGGGUAGGUGUGUCCGGUCGGCAGGGGAUGCUCACUCUUCCAUGACACCUGAUCUCACCUCUGAUUUUAAGAAUAGGUUUUCGUUUGAACACACAAGCAACAGACAAUACAGUAUCAUUAACAUGUAUAAAAUGAGAACCACUGGUCCAAUUUCAACCAACCUGCCACAAAGUAAUCUUGGCUAAAGAGGAUUACAGUUUGUUCAAAUGAAGGGCCACGUCAUCUUCCAAGGCUUCCAAGUCAUCUUCCAUAGUCCAUUCAAUAUUUUUCCAUAAUCCAACGAUGUGUUUGUUACCUCUUUUCCUCGAUUUUCUGAGUUUAAAUGUUCAGAUAAGGGAAGGACGUGUUCUUUUUUCACAAAUUUGUGAAGUACAUUCCAAAGCCAAAUUAUUUCUCUUUGGGUUUGUGAUCAAAUGUUGAAGAAAUUAGCUGAAUCAAAUGUAUUUAAAUAAACUAUUUUAACAUUAUAUUAACAGAAACUUUUAAAGUAAUGAAAUCUAUAAGAUAAGAGGAAAGCCCCUUUUCUAACCAUCAGAGUAGUCUUUACAAUGAAACAUUGAAAUAAUUAACAGUAUUCAAGCUCAAAGUCCAUUAAAUAAUGCAAACGGGACAGAGCAAACACAGACCUCCAAAAACAUAAAGUGGGAUCAGCCACUGAGGAUUGAGCAUCCCCUGCCGACCGGUCACAUCCGCUGUGUACUCCUUGUCAUAACCAGGAAAAAACGGAAAAAUCUGUAGACAAUUCAGCGUGUAAAUAAUUGCCUUACAAUUAAUAUGAAAUAUGUCAGACAAUAUUUGACUUAAAGAUUUGUUUUAUUUGCUGAUGAGAACAUUGU